This 495-nucleotide ribosomal RNA is filed under the name uncultured bacterium. Its description in RNAcentral is "partial 16S ribosomal RNA". It matches the Rfam family "Bacterial small subunit ribosomal RNA", at positions 28 to 507 of the family's 1533-position model. The record is from RNAcentral.
GACGAACGCUGGCGGCGUGCCUAAUACAUGCAAGUAGAACGCUGAAGGAGGAGCUUGCUCUUCUGGAUGAGUUGCGAACGGGUGAGUAACGCGUAGGUAACCUGCCUGGUAGCGGGGGAUAACUAUUGGAAACGAUAGCUAAUACCGCAUAAUAGUAGAUGUUGCAUGAUAUUUACUUAAAAGGUGCAAUUGCACCACUACCAGAUGGACCUGCGUUGUAUUAGCUAGUUGGUGGGGUAACGGCUCACCAAGGCGACGAUACAUAGCCGACCUGAGAGGGUGAUCGGCCACACUGGGACUGAGACACGGCCCAGACCCCUACGGGAGGCAGCAGUAGGGAAUCUUCGGCAAUGGACGAAAGUCUGACCGAGCAACGCCGCGUGAGUGAAGAAGGUUUUCGGAUCGUAAAGCUCUGUUGUAAGAGAAGAACGAGUGUGAGAGUGGAAAGUUCACACUGUGACGGUAUCUUACCAGAAAGGGACGGCUAACUACGUG